Molecule: ribosomal RNA, 492 nt
Filed under: uncultured bacterium
Lineage: Bacteria
Description: partial 16S ribosomal RNA
Rfam family: Bacterial small subunit ribosomal RNA
Source: RNAcentral
AGUGAACGCUGGCGGUAGGCCUAGCACAUGCAAGUCGAACGGCAGCACAGUAAGAGCUUGCUCUUACGGGUGGCGAGUGGCGGACGGGUGAGGAAUACAUCGGAAUCUACUUUUUCGUGGGGGAUAACGUAGGGAAACUUACGCUAAUACCGCAUACGACCUACGGGUGAAAGCAGGGGAUCUUCGGUCCUUGCGCGAUUGAAUGAGCCGAUGUCGGAUUAGCUAGUUGGCGGGGUAAAGGCCCACCAAGGCGACGAUCCGUAGCUGGUCUGAGAGGAUGAUCAGCCACACUGGAACUGAGACACGGUCCAGACUCCUACGGGAGGCAGCAGUGGGGAAUAUUGGACAAUGGGCGCAAGCCUGAUCCAGCCAUACCGCGUGGGUGAAGAAGGCCUUCGGGUUGUAAAGCCCUUUUGUUGGGAAAGAAAAGCAGCAGGUUAAUACCCCGCUGUUCUGACGGUACCCAAAGAAUAAGCACCGGCUAACUUCGUG